AGGGUUUGAUCCUGGCUCAGAACGAACGCUGGCGGCGUGGCUAAGGCAUGCAAGUCGUACGGGCCGUGUGGAAGGUAACGGAAGCACGGUUAGUGGCGGACGGGUGAGUAAUGCAUGGGUAACGUACCUUGUGCACAGGGAUAGCGGCGCCCUUCGGGGCUUUAGCGAAAGUGCCGGUAAUACCUGAUGACGUCCAAAGGUCGCAUGGCCUUCGGAUCAAAGGUGGGGACCCUUCGGGGCCUGCUGGCACGAGAUCGACCCAUGUCCUAUCAGCUUGUUGGUGGGGUAACGGCCUACCAAGGCGAUGACGGGUAGUCGGCGUGAGAGCGCGACCGGCCACAUCGGGACUGAGACACUGCCCGGACACCUACGGGUGGCUGCAGCAACGAAUAUUGGACAAUGGACGAAAGUCUGAUCCAGCGACGCCGCGUGAAGGAUGAAGUCCCUCGGGAUGUAAACUUCAAUAGUUUGUCAGGAAGCAAGCCGGCCGAAUAAGCCGGGGCGCUGACCAGCAAACGAAAGGGGUGGCUAACUCCGUGCCAGCAGCCGCGGUAACACGGGGACCCCUAGCGUUGUUCGGAAUUACUGGGCUUAAAGCGGGUGUAGGCGGAGCGGCAAGUACUGUGUGAAAGCCCCGGGCUCAACCCGGGAAUGGCUUGGUAUACUGUCGCUCUUGAGGCAGGUAGGGGUCACUGGAACCUUAGGUGGAGCGGUGAAAUGCGUAGAUAUCUAAGGGAACGCCUGUGGCGAAAGCGGGUGACUGGGCCUGUUCUGACGCUGAGACCCGAAAGCGUAGGGAGCGAACGGGAUUAGAUACCCCGGUAGUCUACGCCGUAACGAUGCGCACUAGGUUCGAGAGUCUCUGACGGCUUUCGUGCCGGAACAAAAGCGAUAAGUGCGCCGCCUGGGGAGUACGGCCGCAAGGCUAAAACUCAAAGGAAUUGACGGGUUCCCCGCACAAGCAGCGGAGCGUGUGGUUUAAUUCGAUGCAACGCGAGACCUUACCAGGCUUGACAUG
Molecule: ribosomal RNA, 1018 nt
Filed under: uncultured bacterium
Lineage: Bacteria
Description: bacterial SSU rRNA
Rfam family: Bacterial small subunit ribosomal RNA
Source: RNAcentral